ACAGCUGUGUGUGUGUUGGGGGAGGGAGCAUCACUGCAGGCCCAAAAGAGAGCCGCACAUGUGCCACUCAGGGUUAUUAUAGCUUUGGAUUUUUCUCAUAUUAGCAUUUAUUUCCUUUCCACUUUUCUUUUGAAAUUUCACUGAAGUAUAAAUUACGCAAUCUUUCUUGCUGGAAAAGAACCAAAAAACGCAGGAUCAGAGCGCCACUCGCGGCUCAGCUAAGAACAACGACCGCGCCAUCCAGCGGGAACGAUGCCAGCAUUCACGCCUCGUGGAAUGCUUUUGGAGCGGGCCGUGUCACAUGGCGCACUUGAGUGACAAUCUUCCGGAGUUCCUGCUGGACCAGACAAUCUGAAAUUGCAACCAUCGAGAAUGUCCUCCGUCUUCUCCUCCUCCAGGAUGUCCGGCGAGCCGAUGCCUUCGUCCUUCUCCUCCACGCGCCUCCUCUUCGGGGAAGAGCCGCUCAACUCCUGCCGAGGCUUCAAGUCAUUCGUUUGGAAGCACUUUGGAUUCCAAAGAAAAGAUGGCUCAACGGACAAGACACGUGCAGUUUGUAAAUCCUGCCAUGCGGUGAUCAAAUAUUCAGGGAGCACAAAUCUCGCCGCACAUUUAAAGAAAAACCACGACAUCAAAGUUCAGUGUUAAAGUAAGCAAUUUGUAUACUACAAUACUCUUGUAAUUUCCUAAAUAAAGAGUUUGCAGUACCUUGUUGAUUUUGCGUAUGAAUUGUUAUAAAUCAGGAUAUUGUUCUAUAUUUCGUAUUAAAAAAAAUCGAUCGUAGAGCACUAUAUCGCGAUAUAUCGUGAAUGAAUCGCAGCAGGCUUUAAGAUAUCGGCAAAUAUCGUAUCGUAGUUCUUUAUAUCGUUAUUAUAUCGUAUCGUGACAAAACCCGCGAUUUACACCCCUACUAUUUUUACUUCUUACUGAAAUGGAAUUGCAAGAAUCAAAAUCUAAUGGAGCCUAAAUGUUUGAGAUUUCUCCAAGGCUUGACCUGUAUGAUUCGCUUGAGUUGGCUGUUCUGCUGCAGUAGUCGCGUCUUCUCCUGCUCCAGCGUGAAAAUGUACUCCGCCGUCUGCUGCAAGAUGGCAGCCUGAGAAGAGAAACCUGGAAAUGAAGCUCCGCAAACAGAAGAUUCCCGUCUUCCUUUGAACCCCACCGACACCUUGCUGAGC
Syngnathus typhle (broad-nosed pipefish) is the source of this 1172-nucleotide long non-coding RNA. RefSeq lists it as uncharacterized. Lineage: Eukaryota; Metazoa; Chordata; Actinopteri; Syngnathiformes; Syngnathidae. The record is from RefSeq and is a predicted model, not a curated record. The transcript is spliced from 4 exons.